AUAGUCCUGUAUGUUAAACGAGAAGACUUUAGAUAUGAUCCAGAGUACCACGGGACACGUGAAACCCUGUGGGAAGCAGGAGGGACCACCCUCCAAGGCUAAAUACUACCUAGUGACCGAUAGCGUAUAGUACCGUGAGGGAAAGGUGAAAAGAACCCCGGGAGGGGAGUGAAAUAGAACCUGAAACCCUGCACUUACAAGCUGUGGAAGCACAUUUCUUGUGUGACCGCGUACUUUUUGUAGAACGGGCCAACGAGUUACGUUAAGUAGCAAGGUUAAGCACUUAAGGUGCGGAGCCGUAGCGAAAGCGAGUUUUAACUGAGCGUUCAGUUACUUGACGUAGACCCGAAACCGGGCGACCUACCCAUGAGCAGGAUGAAGCGAAAGUAAAAUUUCGUGGAGGUCCGAACCCACGAGCGUUGAAAAGCUCGGGGAUGACUUGUGGGUAGCGGUGAAAUUCCAAUCGAGCCCGGAGAUAGCUGGUUCUCCCCGAAAUAGCUUUAGGGCUAGCCUCAAGGUGAGAGAUACGGAGGUAGAGCACUGAAUGUCCUAGGGGGUAUUGCACCUACCGAAGACUAUCAAACUCCGAAUGCCGUCAUCUUAUACUUGGGAGUCAGACUGUGGGUGAUAAGAUUCAUAGUCGAAAGGGCAACAGCCCAGAUCGUCAGCUAAGGUCCCUAAAUGUAAGUUAAGUGGUAAAGGAUGUGGGAUUGCACAGACAACCAGGAUGUUGGCUUAGAAGCAGCCACUCAUUCAAAGAGUGCGUAAUAGCUCACUGGUCGAGUGAUCCUGCGCCGAAGAUUUCCGGGGCUAAAACUUACUACCGAAGCUACGGCAUCAGUAAUGAUGGGUAGGGGAGCUUCCCAUACGGGUUGAAGCAUGACCGUAAGGACAUGUGGACAGUAUGGGAGUGAGAAUGUUGGCAUGAGUAGCGAGAUGUGGGUGAGAAUCCCACAGGCCGUAAACCCAAGGUUUCCAGGGGAAGGUUCGUCCGCCCUGGGUUAGUCGGGACCUAAGCUGAGGCCGAAAGGCGUAGGUGAUGGACAACAGGUUGAUAUUCCUGUAC
Molecule: ribosomal RNA, 1066 nt
Filed under: Clostridioides difficile
Lineage: Bacteria; Bacillati; Bacillota; Clostridia; Peptostreptococcales; Peptostreptococcaceae
Description: partial 23S ribosomal RNA
Rfam family: Bacterial large subunit ribosomal RNA
Source: RNAcentral